RNAcentral lists this ribosomal RNA (568 nucleotides) under uncultured archaeon. RNAcentral describes it as "partial 16S ribosomal RNA". It matches the Rfam family "Archaeal small subunit ribosomal RNA", at positions 74 to 644 of the family's 1478-position model. The record is from RNAcentral.
CAUACAGGCAUACGGCUCAGUAACGCGUAGUCAACCUAACCUAUGGACGGGAAUAACCUCGGGAAACUGAGAAUAAUGCCCGAUAGAACACUAUACCUGGAAUGGUUUGUGUUCCAAAUGAUUUAUCGCCAUAGGAUGGGACUGCGGCCUAUCAGUUUGUUGGUGAGGUAAUGGCCCACCAAGACUAUUACAGGUACGGGCUCUGAGAGGAGUAGCCCGGAGAUGGGUACUGAGACACGGACCCAGGCCCUAUGGGGCGCAGCAGGCGAGAAAACUUUGCAAUGUGCGAAAGCACGACAAGGUUAAUCCGAGUGAUUUGUGCUAAACGAAUCUUUUGUUAGUCCUAGAAACACUAAAAAAAAAAGGGGGGGGGGGAUUUUCUGGUUGUCAGCCGCCCGCGGUAAAACCCAGCACCUCAGGUGGUCAGGAUGAUUAUUGGGGCCUAAAGCAUCCGUAGCCGCUCUGUAGGUUUUUCGGUAAUCUGUACGCUCAUCGUACAGCUGCCGCGGAGAUGCUAGCUAGGAGUGGGGGAGGUAGACAGUACUCGCUAGCACUGGUAAAAGCUUUG